Molecule: ribosomal RNA, 468 nt
Filed under: uncultured bacterium
Lineage: Bacteria
Description: partial 16S ribosomal RNA
Rfam family: Bacterial small subunit ribosomal RNA
Source: RNAcentral
GACGAACGCUGGCGGCGUGCUUAACACAUGCAAGUCGAACGGAAAGGCCCUGCUUUUUUGGGGUGCUCGGGUGGCGAACGGGUAAGUAACACGUAAGUAACCGGCCCUUGACUUUGGGAUAACUUAAGGAAACUGGACCUAAUACCAGAUCGGAGCUCAUGCUGCAGGGUGGGGGGUGGAACGUUUAGGCGGUUGGGAAUGGACGCGCGGCUUAUCAGCUUGUUGGUGGGGUAGUGGCUUACCCAUGCUUGGCCGGGUAGCCGGCCUGAGAGGGUGACCGGCCACAUUCGGACUGAGAUACGGCCCAGACUACUACGGGAGGCAGUAGUGGGGAAUAUUGCACAAUCGGCGGACGUCUGAUGAAGCAACGUGGCGUGUGUUAUGCCGGCCGUCGGGUUGUAAACCGCUUCCGCCUGUGACGAAGCGUGUGUGACGGUAAUGGGUAAAGAAGCACCGGCUAACUACGUG